RNAcentral lists this ribosomal RNA (505 nucleotides) under uncultured bacterium. RNAcentral describes it as "partial 16S ribosomal RNA". It matches the Rfam family "Bacterial small subunit ribosomal RNA", at positions 28 to 507 of the family's 1533-position model. The record is from RNAcentral.
GACGAACGCUGGCGGCGUGCCUAAUACAUGCAAGUAGAACGCACAGUUUAUACCGUAGCUUGCUACACCAUAGACUGUGAGUUGCGAACGGGUGAGUAACGCGUAGGUAACCUGCCUGGUAGCGGGGGAUAACUAUUGGAAACGAUAGCUAAUACCGCAUAAUAUUGAUUAUUGCAUGAUAAUUGAUUGAAAGAUGCUAUUGCAUCACUACCAGAUGGACCUGCGUUGUAUUAGCUAGUAGGUGAGGUAACGGCUCACCUAGGCGACGAUACAUAGCCGAACUGGGAGGGUGGUCCGCCACACUGGGAAUGAGACACGGCCCAGACUCCCACGGGAGGCAACCGUAAGGGAACCUCCGGCAUUGACGAAAGUCUGAACGGGCAAAGCCGCGUGAGGGGAGGAGGGUUUCGGGUCGUAAAGCCCUGGUUUAAAGGGAAAACCGGUUUUGGAGGGGAAAGUUCACACCGUGACGGUAACUUACCAGAAAGGGACGGCUAACUACGUG